RNAcentral lists this long non-coding RNA (773 nucleotides) under Homo sapiens (human). RNAcentral describes it as "non-protein coding lnc-DLL3-1:3". Lineage: Eukaryota; Metazoa; Chordata; Mammalia; Primates; Hominidae. The record is from RNAcentral.
AGGCACCUCUGCCUCAGUUUCCUCAUCUCUAAAAUGGGGUGAUGGUAGUAUGUUAGCAGAGUGGUUGUGAGGAGUGAACGGGACAGUCCGUAUGUGGGUUAUAUGUAUAUAUUCCCAGGUGCUUGCUGUUACCAGGCCAUAUGGGUUAUUCACAGAUUGAAAUAUCUUAGCUGGGCACGGUGGCUCACCCCUAUAAUCCCAGCACUUUGGGAGACCGAGGCGGGUGGAUCACCUGAGGUCAGGAGUUCGAGACCAGCCUGGCCAACAUGGUGAAACCCUGUCUCUACUAAAAAAAUACAAAUAAAUUAGCUGGGCAUGGUGGUGGGUGCCUGUAAUCCCAGCUACUUGGGAGGCUGGAGUGCAGUGGGGCGAUCUCGGCUCACUGCACCCUGCACCUCCUGGGUUCAAGUGAUUCUCCUGCCUCAGGCUCCCAAGUAGCUGGGAUUACAGGCGUGUGCCACUGUCAGGCCUCUGAGCCCAAGCCAAGCCAUCGCAUCCCCUGUGCCUUGCACAUAUACACCCAGAUGGCCUGAAGUAACUGAAGAAUCACAAAAGAAGUGAAAAGGCCCUGCCCCGCCUUAACUGAUGACAUUCCACCAUUGUGAUUUGUUCCUGCCCCACCUUAACUGAGUGAUUAACCCUGCAAAUUUCCUUCUCCUGGCUCAGAAGCACCCCCACUGAGCACCUUGCGACCCCCCACUCCUGCCCGCCCUUUGACUGUAAUUUUCCAUUACCUUCCCAAAUACUAUAAAACAGCCCCACCCCUAUCUCCC